UGGGGGAUAUUGCACAAUGGGCGAAAGCCUGAUGCAGCGACGCCGCGUGGGGGAUGAAGGCUUUCGGGUUGUAAACCUCUUUCGCUAUCGAACAAGGCCCGCUUAGGGUGGGUUGAGGGUAGGUGGAGAAGAAGCGCCGGCUAACUACGUGCCAGCAGCCGCGGUAAUACGUAGGGCGCGAGCGGUGUCCGGAAUUAUUGGGCGUAAAGGGCUUGUAGGCGGCUUGUUGCGCCUGCUGUGAAAACGCGGGGCUUAACUUCGCGCGUGCAGUGGGUACGGGCAGGCUUGAGUGUGGUAGGGGUGACUGGAAUUCCAGGUUGAGCGGUGGAAUGCGCAGAUAUCUGGAGGAACACCGAUGGCGAAGGCAGGUCACUGGGCCAUUACUGACGCUGAGGAGCGAAAGCAUGGGUAGCGAACAGG
RNAcentral lists this ribosomal RNA (420 nucleotides) under bacterium. RNAcentral describes it as "partial 16S ribosomal RNA". It matches the Rfam family "Bacterial small subunit ribosomal RNA", at positions 355 to 776 of the family's 1533-position model. The record is from RNAcentral.